This 62-nucleotide transfer RNA is filed under the name Bucco macrodactylus. RNAcentral's name for it is "tRNA-Cys". The record is from RNAcentral. Lineage: Eukaryota; Metazoa; Chordata; Aves; Piciformes; Bucconidae.
UGUGGUGAAGUUCAUGCUGAGUUGCAAGCUCAGAGAUGGGCAUUAAUAUGCUCCGGGGUUUA